AUGUCGGAGGCUUCGAGAUCGCAGAGGAGACAUGAGAAGGAGUCAGCGGAGGAUCUUCUGGCAAGGCUUACGCUGCAGGAGGAGGAAGAAGAUGAUUUCAUCUGGGAGGAAGAGCUGCCGGACAUGCUGGAGCCGGCGAAGUGGCUUGCCAUCGUUCGAGUCCACACACCGAAGUCUUUCAGCCCUAAUGCUCUGUACAAUGACAUGAGGGCGGCCUGGAAUCCAGCAAAAACAGUGGACUGGAGGAAAAUCAAGGGAAAUUUGUUUACGACACAGUUUGGUUGCUUGGGCGAUUGGAAUAAGGCUAUGGCCGAGGGACCGUGGCUGUUCAGAGAUCAGGCGGUGAUUAUGCAGGAGUAUGAUGGGUUUAAGAACCCCGUGUGGGCGCAGAUUCAUCGCCUGUCGGACAGGUUCCUUAUCGAACCGGCGGUAAAGGGUUUGGCUUCCAGGAUCGGGGAGGUGGAAGAGGUUCAGCUAAAACUUCCUGCUGGUUUCUUUGGGGAGUUUGUGAGGGUCAAGGUGAAGAUUGACAUCAACUCCAAAAUCAAACAUUUCGUUACAGCCAAGAAGGGAGAAGAGAGAGUCAAAUAUCAGAUCAAGUAUGAAAAGCUUCCAACCUUUUGCUACAAUUGUGGUGAGUUUGGUCACUAG
Molecule: ribosomal RNA, 651 nt
Filed under: Triticum aestivum (bread wheat)
Lineage: Eukaryota; Viridiplantae; Streptophyta; Magnoliopsida; Poales; Poaceae
Description: partial small subunit ribosomal RNA
Source: RNAcentral